This 72-nucleotide transfer RNA is filed under the name Candidatus Pacearchaeota archaeon. RNAcentral's name for it is "tRNA-Arg". It matches the Rfam family "tRNA". Rfam says of the family: Transfer RNA (tRNA) molecules are approximately 80 nucleotides in length. Lineage: Archaea; Nanobdellati. The record is from RNAcentral.
GGGCCUAUAGUUCAGUGGAUAGAAUAACAGGUUUCGGCCCUGUUGACCGAGGUUCGAAUCCUCGUAGGCUCA